CAGAAAAUUCAAACACUCUUUUUCGGGGAGGAAAGUCGGGACAACACAGAGCGCCGUACUUCUUAGCAGGAAGGUGUUCGUUGGGAGACUGACGGAUAACAGCAAGUGCCACAGAAAAUAACCACCACGCAUAAGUGUAUGGAAAGGGUGAAAACGUGAGGUAAGAGCUUACGUCCCGAUGUGGUAACAUGCCGGGAGGGUAAACCUUACGGGUUGAAAGACCAAAUAUACCAGGGUUUGUCUGUUUUGGCAGGCAUAAAGGGCUGCUCGUCCGAGCCUGGGGGGUUGGUCGUUAGAUGCCGGUGGUGACAUCGGUGCGAGAUAAAUGAUAGAUUAAAACAGAAUCCCGCUUACUGAACUGUUAU
Molecule: RNase P RNA, 365 nt
Filed under: Bacteroidota bacterium
Lineage: Bacteria; Pseudomonadati; Bacteroidota
Also listed under: 1 other name
Description: Bacteroidetes bacterium (marine metagenome) RNase P RNA component class A
Rfam family: Bacterial RNase P class A
About the family: Ribonuclease P (RNase P) is a ubiquitous endoribonuclease, found in archaea, bacteria and eukarya as well as chloroplasts and mitochondria. Its best characterised activity is the generation of mature 5'-ends of tRNAs by cleaving the 5'-leader elements of precursor-tRNAs.
Source: RNAcentral